GAUUAUUUUCCCAAGGUCCAUGGGUUUGCUAUUUAUUUUUUCUUCUUAGACAUAUUGACAACAAACAUUAACUCAUCAGGAACAAACCAGAGAUACUGAAGUAGGAAUGAAACACAAAUCUUUGCUUCCACUUGCAGCAACAGAGUGUCUGCUUUCUUUUUGUCAUCUUGUGCUGUAAAAGUGGCUUCAGUCUCCUUCAGUCUACAGAUUCCUAUAGAAUUCUGACUGGAUCUUUUAUGAAGAAUUUAAGCCAACUGACAGGAGCAUGAGAAGUCAAUAGUUAACCAUGAACCAUAAGAAAUGUUUCAGGGAUGUUUAUCAAAGAUGCCUCUCUACACUAGGUGGAAAGAUGAAUGCAAAGGAACCAUAUAUGAUGAUUUAGAGCUCCUGUGUGAUGACUUAUACUGCCCUUAUUCUGUUCAGGUAAUUCAGGGAUUAAGGAAUACCACUGGAUUCACUGGCCAUAUUAAAAUAGAAGCAAUGGAUUCCCAAUCACUGAAACUUGUAAAAUACAUAAACUUGAAGAAAAGGCCACAGGUAACAAUCAACCACAAAGAUAUUUAUGUGCCAAUGUCUAUAUAAUUCAUUGCCACAGGGAAUGUUAUAGUACUGUAGCUAUAUAUUCUCUAAAGUAUUGUCUUAAUGUCAAUGAACUUUUCCCUCUGCUUUGAUUAGAGAGAUGCUUCUGCCACCAGCUGAACAUUUUUUUGCUAACAAGCUGAUGUUUUUCUCUUCUGUUUACAGAAUGAUCAGUUGUAAACAUUGAUGAUAAAACAGUGAGCUUUACAUCGCAGUUCCACUGCAAAAAGACGUGUCUGCACAAAGAAAGCUUGAUAAUAUGUUUAUUUUUUUAAUCUAUGAAUGAAUUAUCACUUUUUCUCUGA
Molecule: long non-coding RNA, 884 nt
Organism: Falco peregrinus (peregrine falcon)
Lineage: Eukaryota; Metazoa; Chordata; Aves; Falconiformes; Falconidae
Exons: 5
Source: RefSeq, a predicted model, not a curated record